GAUGAACGCUGGCGGCGUGCCUAACACAUGCAAGUCGAGCGAACAGACGAGGAGCUUGCUCCUCUGACGUUAGCGGCGGACGGGUGAGUAACACGUGGAUAACCUACCUAUAAGACUGGGAUAACUUCGGGAAACCGGAGCUAAUACCGGAUAAUAUAUUGAACCGCAUGGUUCAAUAGUGAAAGACGGUUUUGCUGUCCCUUAUAGAUGGAUCCGCGUCGGAUUAGCUAGUUGGUAAGGUAACGGCUUACCAAGGCGACGAUGCGUAGACGACCUGAGAGGAUGAUCGGCCACACUGGGACUGAGACACGGCCCAGACUCCUACGGGAGGCAGCAGUGGGGAAUUUUGGACAAUGGGGGAAAGCCUGAUACAGCAAGGCCGCGUGAGGGAUGAAGGCCUUCGGGUUGUAAAAUGCUUUUGUUCGGGAAGAAAAAAUUUGUGAUAAUACAGGGGGGGGAUGACGGUACCGGAAGAAUAAGCAGCGGCUAACUACGUG
RNAcentral lists this ribosomal RNA (497 nucleotides) under uncultured bacterium. Its description in RNAcentral is "partial 16S ribosomal RNA". It matches the Rfam family "Bacterial small subunit ribosomal RNA", at positions 28 to 507 of the family's 1533-position model. The record is from RNAcentral.